RNAcentral lists this ribosomal RNA (253 nucleotides) under uncultured bacterium. Its description in RNAcentral is "partial 16S ribosomal RNA". It matches the Rfam family "Bacterial small subunit ribosomal RNA", at positions 524 to 776 of the family's 1533-position model. The record is from RNAcentral.
UACGAAGGGGGCUAGCGUUGCUCGGAAUUACUGGGCGUAAAGCGCACGUAGGCGGAUUGUUAAGUCGGGGGUGAAAUCCUAGAGCUCAACUCCAGAACUGCCUUCGAUACUGGCGAUCUCGAGUUCGGGAGAGGUGAGUGGAACUGCGAGUGUAGAGGUGAAAUUCGUAGAUAUUCGCAAGAACACCAGUGGCGAAGGCGGUUCUCUGGGCCUGUACUGACGCUGAGGAGCGAAAGCGUGGGGAGCGAACAGG